RNAcentral lists this long non-coding RNA (485 nucleotides) under Pan troglodytes (chimpanzee). Its description in RNAcentral is "long non-coding RNA NONPTRT011814". Lineage: Eukaryota; Metazoa; Chordata; Mammalia; Primates; Hominidae. The record is from RNAcentral.
ACCAAGACCCUUGCCUUCUGCAGCCCACUCUCCACACAGCAGGUUGAGGGCCCUGUGGACACACAUCAGAUCACUCUUACUGAAAACACUCCAGAGGCUUCCGCUGUUCUCUAUGCCUGGGACACUCAUCCCUCAGAUCUUGCCACGGACACCUCAUCUUCAUUCAAUCUUUUUUUUUUUUCCAAAACAGAGUCUUGCUCUGUUGCCCAGGCUGGAGUGCAGUGGCGUGAUCUUGGCACACUGCAACCUCCACCUACCUGGUACAAGCAAUUCUCCUGCCUCAGCCUCCCAGGUAGCUGGGAUUACAGGCACCUGCCACCAUACCCAGCUAAUUUUUUGUAUUUUUGGUAGAGACAGGGUUUCACUGUGUUGGCCAAGCUGGUCUUGAACUCCUGACCUCGUGAUCUGCCUGUCUUGGCCUCCCAAAAUGCUGGAAUUACAGGCAUGAGCCACUGUGCCUGGCUUCAUCAUUCAGUCUUUGUUCA